AGAGUUUGAUCCUGGCUCAGGAUGAACGCUAGCGGCAGGCCUAAUACAUGCAAGUCGAACGGUAAGUAGAGUAGCAAUACUUUACCAAGAGUGACGUACGGGUGCGUAACACGUAUGCAACCUACCCAUAACAGGAGGAUAGCUCCCCGAAAGGGGAAUUAACCCUCCAUAGUAUAAUUGACUGGCAUCAGUUGAUUAUUAAAACUCCGGUGGUUAUGGAUGGGCAUGCGUCUGAUUAGUUAGUUGGCGGUGUAACGGACCACCAAGACGAUGAUCAGUAGGGGAACUGAGAGGUUGAUCCCCCACACUGGCACUGAGAUACGGGCCAGACUCCUACGGGAGGCAGCAGUAGGGAAUAUUGGUCAAUGGAUGCAAGUCUGAACCAGCCAUGCCGCGUGCAGGAAGAAGGCCCUAUGGGUUGUAAACUGCUUUUGUCAGGGGAUAAAAUGGGCAUGCGUGCCUAAUUGAAGGUACCUGGCGAAUAAGCCACGGCUAACUACGUGCCAGCAGCCGCGGUAAUACGUAGGUGGCAAGCGUUGUCCGGAUUUAUUGGGUUUAAAGGGUGCGUAGGCGGUCCUAUAAGUCAGUGCUGAAAUAUCCCGGCUUAACCGGGAGAGUGGCAUUGAUACUGUGGGACUUGAGUAAAGUUGAGGUUGGCGGAAUUGACGGUGUAGCGGUGAAAUGCUUAGAUAUCGUCAAGAACACCUAUUGCGAAGGCAGCUAACUAAGCUUUAACUGACGCUGAGGCACGAAAGUGUGGGGAUCAAACAGGAUUAGAUACCCUGGUAGUCCACACUGUAAACGUUGAUUACUCGCUGUUGGCGAUACACGGGCCAGCGGCUUAGCGCAAGCGAUAAGUAAUCCACCU
Molecule: ribosomal RNA, 868 nt
Filed under: uncultured bacterium
Lineage: Bacteria
Description: bacterial SSU rRNA
Rfam family: Bacterial small subunit ribosomal RNA
Source: RNAcentral